Long non-coding RNA from Astatotilapia calliptera (eastern happy), 1052 nucleotides. The record is from Ensembl. NCBI's taxonomy places the organism in Eukaryota, Metazoa, Chordata, Actinopteri, Cichliformes, Cichlidae.
GGAAAACGCUGCUAUGAACAUGCCAAAGCAGCAGGUGGCGCUAGAUUCCUAACCGUGCAGAAAUGUUGGCCAAUCAGAAGUCUAGAAGCCUCGGUGGGAAAAAGUAAACAAAGCUGCGGCAUAGAAGCAGAACCGAGUCGUAUGUGUGGAGGGACAGUAACUGUGUGUAUAUGUAAGCAUUUAAACACUGCAGAGAGUAGAAUUAACAGUAACAGUAUUGUAGAAAUUCAUUUCACCGAAACAAUAACGCGGCGCACAGUGUGACGCAUGCACCAGUUUAUUGUAUUUCCAGACUUGCUUUCGGCACAAUUUACAGUGCACGCUACUCUGUUUUUUGUCAGACUUGAAAUACCUUCACACUACGGAACUUCUUUGGCUCUUCCGUUCGACAAUCUCUCCGGCAUUGGAACCAUCAUCGGUUUUCUCUUCGGUCACGCUCGGUUGAUUUUUCUAGUCGGCACACUCAUUUCCUCCAUUAUGCGCUGGCUGCUUCCCAAACAAACACACGUGCGGCUUGGCACUUGUGCUGUACGUAGCAAGUCACGCGACGUGACGCUGCGGCUGUGAUUGGUUCAGCUCUGCGCUACUGAAUUUGGAUCGGCUGACCUUUUUUUUUUUUUUUUUUUUUCUUAAGAGGACAAGAGCGGCGAGGUCUAUCGCGAUAGCUUAAUUUCUCUAUCGAGUAAAAGUUAUAUCGCGAUACAUAUCAUUAUCGUUCUAUCGCCCAGCUGUACUAUAUAGAUAUGCUGCCUUAAGUUUGAGGCAUACUUAGCUGGCAUUUGACAAAAACAAAACAGAUGCUGAAACAGCAGAUGAGGAACAUACAAAAAUCUGACAUAUCACCUCAUUCACAAUAAAUCAAAAUCCUCUUGAACACAUAGAUUCUUUCUCCAGUACAACGACAUGCAAAUACUUUGGUCCAUUCAUAUACAUACACACAACACUGAGAUCUUCUCAUAUAUAUGCAUUGACAAUGUAGCACCAGCUAGCACCAAUUUAGACUGUAAUGGGGAAAAAUGCUUGUCUUUUUGCUGCCAUCAUGAUAACAAAAA